CCUACGGGAGGCUGCAGUGGGGAAUAUUGGACAAUGGGGGGAACCCUGAUCCAGCCAUGCCGCGUGUGUGAAGAAGGCCCUCGGGUUGUAAAGCACUUUCAGUGAGGAAGAACGCCUGGUGGUUAAUACCCAUCAGGAAAGACAUCACUCACAGAAGAAGCACCGGCUAACUCCGUGCCAGCAGCCGCGGUGAUACGGAGGGUGCGAGCGUUAAUCGGAAUUACUGGGCGUAAAGCGCGCGUAGGUGGCUUGAUAAGCCGGUUGUGAAAGCCCCGGGCUCAACCUGGGAACGGCAUCCGGAACUGUCAAGCUAGAGUGCAGGAGAGGAAGGUAGAAUUCCCGGUGUAGCGGUGAAAUGCGUAGAGAUCGGGAGGAAUACCAGUGGCGAAGGCGGCCUUCUGGACUGACACUGACACUGAGGUGCGAAAGCGUGGGUAGCAAACAGGAUUAGAUACCCUGGUAGUC
This 465-nucleotide ribosomal RNA is filed under the name Vreelandella stevensii. RNAcentral describes it as "partial 16S ribosomal RNA". It matches the Rfam family "Bacterial small subunit ribosomal RNA", at positions 338 to 795 of the family's 1533-position model. The record is from RNAcentral. Lineage: Bacteria; Pseudomonadati; Pseudomonadota; Gammaproteobacteria; Oceanospirillales; Halomonadaceae.